RNAcentral lists this long non-coding RNA (370 nucleotides) under Anas platyrhynchos platyrhynchos (common mallard). RNAcentral describes it as "lncRNA (ENSAPLG00000020244.1)". Lineage: Eukaryota; Metazoa; Chordata; Aves; Anseriformes; Anatidae. The record is from RNAcentral.
AGCGGGUAUUUGGAGCUAUAUGUCUUAAACUGACAUUUUUUUGUUCUCCAAUACUGCAUCACUAGCCAAGAGAAUGGAAACUUAAAAUGCCAGCAUAAACUUCAGCAUCAAUGAACCCUCUUGAAUCUUCCUGUUUUCAAAUCUUUUCAUGACUGAGAAUAUCUGAAUGUAACAAUGGUGAUGAUUUAGAGGAAGCCACAAAACCAGGUGGAGACCAGAGUUACCAUUUAUUACAGGAAAAGACUCUUAUGGAAAAGGACUAGCCAGAAGAGCUGUCUCACUGAUAAGAGAUAGAAACAAACUGACUAGAAAUGAGAUGCCCUUCUGUAAGGAAAAAAAAAAAACCUUGCUCCUGGACUUUCUACCAUGA